RNAcentral lists this unclassified non-coding RNA (207 nucleotides) under soil metagenome. Its description in RNAcentral is "partial contains 5.8S ribosomal RNA, internal transcribed spacer 2, and large subunit ribosomal RNA". The record is from RNAcentral.
AACCAUAGAAACCUGCGGAGUACCUGCGGAAGGAUCAUUACCGAGUUUACAACUCCCAAACCCCUGUGAACAUACCAAUUGUUGCCUCGGCGGAUCAGCCCGCUCCCGGUAAAACGGGACGGCCCGCCAGAGGACCCCUAAACUCUGUUUCUAUAUGUAACUUCUGGGUAAAACCAUAAAUAAAUCAAAACUUUUAACAAUGGAUCU